Molecule: long non-coding RNA, 573 nt
Filed under: Felis catus (domestic cat)
Lineage: Eukaryota; Metazoa; Chordata; Mammalia; Carnivora; Felidae
Description: lncRNA (ENSFCAG00000048805.1)
Source: RNAcentral
AUGUGGCUUCCAAAGCAUGUGGUCUUUUCAGCAAGGGGGUCAGACUCCUUACACGGCAGCUGGCAUCCAGGAGGGAGGAACUGGAACUUUGGUACUGAGCGUGGAAGUUCUAGAAUGCUACUUCUGCUUCAUUCUCUUGGUUACAGCAGUCACAGGAGCAACCGGGUUCAAGGGGAGGGGAAAUACACCCUACAUUUUGCGGGGCAGCGUGCACGUACAGGGAUAAAGCGGCCUGGUCGCAGCCAUUUUGAUAUGCUGAAUUUCUGCAAAGACACGAAUUCUUUUUCACGGUAAAAACAGAGUUAAUUUUCACAAAAAGACUUAUGUUGGUAUGCCGUAUGAAAUGUCAGUCGGUCCACUGCUGCAGGCAUGUGGCAGGUUGUAUUCUCUGGGUCUGUGUAGAAAACCGCUUAAGAAUUUCGCAGUUUGUGAGUUUGAGCCCCGCGUCAGGUUCUGUGCUGACAGCUCAGAGCCUGGAGCCUGCUUCAGAUUUGUGUCUCCCCCUUUCUCUGUCCCUCCCCUGCUCAUGCUCUCUCUCUCUCUCUCUCAAAAAUAAAUAAGCAUAAAAAAACA